Molecule: ribosomal RNA, 448 nt
Filed under: uncultured bacterium
Lineage: Bacteria
Description: bacterial SSU rRNA
Rfam family: Bacterial small subunit ribosomal RNA
Source: RNAcentral
UCGGGAAUUUUGGGCAAUGGGCGAAAGCCUGACCCAGCAACGCCGCGUGAAGGAUGAAAUCUUUCGGGAUGUAAACUUCGGAAGAAUAGGAAGAAUAAAAUGACGGUACUAUUUUUAAGGUCCGGCUAACUACGUGCCAGCAGCCGCGGUAAUACGUAGGGACCAAGCGUUGUUCGGAUUUACUGGGCGUAAAGGGCGCGUAGGCGGCGUAAUAAGUCACUUGUGAAAUCUCCGGGCUUAACUCGGAGCGGCCAAGUGAUACUGUUAGGCUAGAGUGCAGAAAGGGCAAUCGGAAUUCUUGGUGUAGCGGUGAAAUGCGCAGAUAUCAGGAGGAACACCCAUGGCGAAGGCAGCACUCUGGGCUGGUAUUGACGCUGAGACGCGAAAGCGUGGGGAGCAAACAGGAUUAGAUACCCACGUAGUCCCUGAGCGGGCUGGCAAGGCGCAU